GGACUACUUGAGAUUAGAAAAUUGUGAUUCUCUCAAAGUCGAGCGGCUUGCAUCGUUUCCCAAGCUAAAAGGUCUUUCUAUUAUCGAUUGCAAGAGUAUUGAGGUGCUCUCAAUUCCUGCUGCAUCUGGGAUCGUGAGUAGUACAACAAAUUCUGCUAGUAGUGUGAUGGCAUCAUUGCAAUUUUUAGACAUCAUCAAUUGCGAUAAUUUGUUGUCUUUUCUAGAGGGAGGAUUGGCAGCCCCCAAUCCAACGGAGAUUUUUAUCCAGGAUUGUGAGAAGCUCAAGGCGCUGUCGCAACGGAUGGAAUCCCUUCUCCCAUCUCUUCGAUAUCUGCAUCUAGAAAAUUGUCCAAAAAUUGAGUGCUUUUGAGAAGGGGGCUUGCCCUCCAGCCUACAAUCCCUUAAGAUCUUGAGAUGCAAAAAGCUCACGAGUCGCCGGAAAGAGUGGGGUCUGGAGAAACUCCCUUAUCUCACAGACUUGUGGAUUGUGGAUAUCAAGGAUGGAGUAGAGUCAUUUCCAGAGAAGGACUAGCAGCUGCCUUGCACACUUGAAGCUCUCUUGUUGCAAUCCCUUCAGAAUCUAAAAGUGCUAAACUAUUCAGGUCUUCGACACCUCACCUCCAUCCAACACCUAGUAAUCGGCUUCUGCCAUAGACUCCAAUCCCUACCAGAAGAGGGACUACCUGCCUCUCUCACCACACUAGAUAUCUCAGAUUGCCCAAUGUUGAAACCAAGGCUAGAAUGGGAUAAAGGACAAGACUGGCCCAAGAUUGCUCACAUCCCUUGCCUGGUAAUCGAUGACGAGCUAGUUCCUUGAUGAUGACACCGAUUACAGGUGAGGGCUUGCCUCCAAAAGUUACAAGACCUUCAUCAUCAUCUAUUUAUAUAAUUAAAGGACGUGGGUUGCUCUCUCCCAAUCGAGGUGAUACACCUUUCUCAAUACUUUAAGGACCAUCAUUGCUCUAUCUUCAGCCAUUGCAAAAUGGGGGUGGUGACCUCCAUCUUUGCAAUAGAUUAAUAUUUAUAGAAUGACGGCCAUUGCAAAGUUGUUGACAUUAUUUUUAGUGUAGAGAAAGGAAGAAGAUUAGAACAAGGUAGCUCAUAUUUCAAGCAUGUCGAUGAUAAACUUACCUUGCGAUCAGUCAUGCACUUUCAGUUUACAUUACAAUUAUUAUUAUUUUUGGUUCAUUGGCAUUUUAGUUUGUUUCCCUAACAUCAAGAUCUGUUCUUCCUCUAUGCCAUAGUUAUGGUAACUCUUAAAAUUGUUUUGAACACUACACAGUACAAUGUAAUGUAAAUAUUUCACAUAUUAUAUUCAAUUCCUAUUAGGGGAACUGUUAUGCACCCAUUCUAUACGAGUAUUUGUUCUUGAUGGCAUCUUUGAAGGUUUGUUAUUUUCCUUUUUCUGUUAAUUCCUGAAUUUCCUGUAUUUCUUUCUUUAUCAUUAUGCUAUUGUAGGACAUCUUCUCUAAGAUUUCACUAAACUAAAUACUUCCAUACCUAUUAUGCCUAUUUUAAACUAUUCCAGCACUUUCUUUUGCAAAUUUCAUUUUUAUUUUGAGGUUAAUUUUCUGGUUAAUUGAACAAUUUUUUAUGGUAAGAUGCAGUUUACUUCCACAUAUCUUUAACUUCCUUGGUUUUUCAUACAGCAAACAGACCAAUGUGGAAACCAUCAACCAGAAUAUCGCAAGCUAGAACCUGUCAUGCAUAUAUGUUUUUCAGGCCACAACAUCAUGCUGUCAUUAUUCAUUGCAUUAUGAAGUACGUAUUGCAAGGAGCUUAGUUCGCUGCUUGGAAAAAUGCAAGCCCUCCUCGCAUCUUUAUGUUGAAAAAUGUGGCAGCAUCAUGUAACUGAGAGCUUUUGAGCUAGGUGUUGCCUCCAGACUGCAACCAUAUCCUUUUGAUGGAGGAUAUUGCAGAGUUUCCCUUCUUGGUCAGACUGCAAUAUUAGUGGCACUGACAAAAAAAGAGUCACUUCCAUAAUACUGGCUCCUGUCUUUCACCCUCGCCAUCUUUCACUUGGAGCAGCAUAAGAGCUGAAGAACAAUGACCUACAAGUGUCUUCAACACUUCAUCUAUCUUGAAGAUAUGGAAAUUACUGACUGCUCUUAGCUCUAGUCGCUAAAAAAAGAGUUGUUGGUGUCCUCCCCUGCUUCCACUAUGCAUGAAAAAUAUGGUUUUCAUUGUCCAAAUUACCAUAUAAUAAGAGAAAGUAGGGGAAAGAAUGGCCCCAAGGUUUCUGAUAUAAACUGCAUAGCUUUCAAUAGUGAGCUAAUUCUAUAUUGAAUCUUGCUUGUCAGUCGCAAGAGCUUGACCUUGGGGGUGUAAAGGUACGUUCUUCUGUUAGAUUCAUUUUCUAGGAAUGCUCCAGUGCCUCAAAUCACGGGAGCAUCAUUUGUUGUGCAUAUGAUCCCAGCUUCUUGAUGAUAAUUUUGUCAACUUACUCUUUAGUUCUUGUUUCUCUUUCAGAAUUUUUCUUCAUGUUCAUGGCCAACUUUGCAAAACAUAGGAUUUGCCUACUCCAAGGAUCCUAUCGAAAAAGUGCUAGCCACAUCAUACUUCUUGCCUUGCAUUUGCAAAUUACAUGUUCAAGAAUUUUUCAACAUUUGAGGUGACAUUCGCCCUCCUUUUUCAGUUCAUUCCUUCCUAGUCACUUUUUAGAUUAGAUCAUGGAAAAACUUUUCCUUUUAUGCAAUUAACAAUACGGGCGCAAUGUGCAAUUUCCAUUGCAUUUCUUAUUUGGUUUCAAUUUUAGUUUUGAAUACUCCUGGCAUAUUUUUGUUUCUAUCACAUCACUGAAGUGAAUUUGGGAAGUAUUAACAUGAUUGUAUCUGCAUUCAUCAGAGAAAAACUUCAAAUCAUCACUAUCACUACCACUAUCACAUCCACUAAGAAAUGGAGAUUGGAGUUAAAGAACUAAACGCAAAUCAGAUUAUGAAACUUCAAAAGGAAAUUAAGAUUCCAACCUUUUCUGCAACUAAUGCAAUGGCUCUGAGGGCAGCAGCGGGUCCCUUCGUUUGUUUCAGGUGAAGAGGGGGGAGCUUGGUAGCGCUCGAGGUAGCUAUUUCUGCUGUGUAGAUCUGCAGCUGUAAACUCAUGUUUUGAAUGGUUUCUGAUUUUGGUAAAACACGUGGAGUUGGAAUUUUUCUAGAGAAAUGUCUGGACGCUGAUUCGCAAAUUCGAGUGCAUCUUAGUUAUUCGGUGGGUGCAAAAUGGCCUUUAUGCAAUAUGUUGGCAAAAUUUCGAUCUCUUCUGUAACAGCUUCAUGUGUCAGUUGCUCAUGUCUUUCGAGAACCAAAUUCGGUAGCAGAUCCCUUGGCUUCACUUUCCUUGAAUGGGCAGCAUGUUUUCAUUUGGAACCAGCUACCUAGUCAAUGUAGGUAGCCAUUGCACUGGACAAAUUUGAUUUAUCUUAAUUGAGGCAUCGUUGUCAGACAAACUGGUAUGCCUUUUUCAUUGAAUAUAAUCUGCGGUCUGAUUGUGUCCGUCACUUGCAACCAAGUUACGGACCGUAAUCUUCUCAUUUUCCUAA
Molecule: long non-coding RNA, 3532 nt
Organism: Coffea eugenioides
Lineage: Eukaryota; Viridiplantae; Streptophyta; Magnoliopsida; Gentianales; Rubiaceae
Exons: 3
Source: RefSeq, a predicted model, not a curated record